This 938-nucleotide ribosomal RNA is filed under the name Salmonella enterica subsp. enterica. Its description in RNAcentral is "partial 23S ribosomal RNA". It matches the Rfam family "Bacterial large subunit ribosomal RNA", at positions 418 to 1269 of the family's 2925-position model. Lineage: Bacteria; Pseudomonadati; Pseudomonadota; Gammaproteobacteria; Enterobacterales; Enterobacteriaceae. The record is from RNAcentral.
CGGGACACGUGGUAUCCUGUCUGAAUAUGGGGGGACCAUCCUCCAAGGCUAAAUACUCCUGACUGACCGAUAGUGAACCAGUACCGUGAGGGAAAGGCGAAAAGAACCCCGGCGAGGGGAGUGAAAAAGAACCUGAAACCGUGUACGUACAAGCAGUGGGAGCACAGGUUUACCUGUGUGACUGCGUACCUUUUGUAUAAUGGGUCAGCGACUUAUAUUCUGUAGCAAGGUUAACCGAAUAGGGGAGCCGGAGGGAAACCGAGUCUUAAUUGGGCGUUAAGUUGCAGGGUAUAGACCCGAAACCCGGUGAUCUAGCCAUGGGCAGGUUGAAGGUUGGGUAACACUAACUGGAGGACCGAACCGACUAAUGUUGAAAAAUUAGCGGAUGACCUGUGGCUGGGGGUGAAAGGCCAAUCAAACCGGGAGAUAGCUGGUUCUCCCCGAAAGCUAUUUAGGUAGCGCCUCGUGAAUUCAUCUCCGGGGGUAGAGCACUGUUUCGGCUAGGGGGCCAUCCCGGCUUACCAACCCGAUGCAAACUGCGAAUACCGGAGAAUGUUAUCACGGGAGACACACGGCGGGUGCUAACGUCCGUCGUGAAGAGGGAAACAACCCAGACCGCCAGCUAAGGUCCCAAAGUCAUGGUUAAGUGGGAAACGAUGUGGGAAGGCCCAGACAGCCAGGAUGUUGGCUUAGAAGCAGCCAUCAUUUAAAGAAAGCGUAAUAGCUCACUGGUCGAGUCGGCCUGCGCGGAAGAUGUAACGGGGCUAAACCAUGCACCGAAGCUGCGGCAGCGAACGUAUCACCCAAGACAACUUUACGGAGUUGACGAUUGACGGAGCGAAGCGACGUCAAAGCGUUCAUUAAAGUCGAGUUGGCUUAGGGAUACGUUCGUUGGGUAGGGGAGCGUUCUGUAAGCCUGUGAAGGUGUGUCGUGAGGC